This 868-nucleotide long non-coding RNA is filed under the name Cotesia glomerata. RNAcentral describes it as "uncharacterized LOC123260828, transcript variant X2". Lineage: Eukaryota; Metazoa; Arthropoda; Insecta; Hymenoptera; Braconidae. The record is from RNAcentral.
UAUGAGCCUAUAAUAUAAUUAUUUUAUUUAUUAAGUUAAAUUUAUAUGAGAAAAAUCCGAUAAACUUUACCUUGUUGAGUAUGAGGAAAGGAAAACUUUUGAAAUCACCGUAGAGAACAUCACUAGCAGAGAGAACAGGAACUAAAUUUAGGAUACUGAGCUGGUAGGUCGAUUGUGGCAGUGUGGUGGUGGAUUUUGGGUUUGGUACCAGCUAGAUUCGACUACCCUAUUCCAUUUAAGCAACCCCAGCACAAACUAAAUGCCAUAUGUGCUACGGAGCAUUCAGAUUGUCUAUGUGCUGUACCAAUAGAUGCUGGGGCGCAGACUUGAGCUGAGGUCGAGUAAUAUAUAGCAGGACUGACUCACCUGGAGAUCCCGCCCGCCCCGUCUAGGACAGGUGUCCACAGGGGUACAGGUAUGACCCGCUUUUGGAUAUAAAAACUGGAAUUUGCCCGAAAAUCCGGGGCUUUGAUAUCCGGCGGUCAGAAGAUCUACGGAGCUCGGAGUGGACUCGGUACUCCUAUCCGGGAUCUGGUUGUUAUUAUUACUCCCGGUAGGGUUUAAGUGUUACUACACCACCUCGAGCUCGGGGAUGAACCUCGGAGAAACCUCUAGCAGCUCCAAGCACGAGGGAAAACACGCGGCAAUUUAACAGGAGCGCAAGGACGACUUUGUCUGACCACUCGAGCUCUAGAGCCGGCGAUAAGCAAUCCGCGGGAAAUAACCAGGAGACCAGAGUUUAGGAGUUCGCUGUGUUAUUUCCGAGAAAAGCCAAAGUUUUGCGCAGACUCUGCUGCUUUGAUGGUAUUGGAGUACGUCGAUGUCUAGAAUAUUUCAAUUUAUCUUUCGUAAAGGAGAAGAAAAAGAA